Molecule: long non-coding RNA, 333 nt
Organism: Dermochelys coriacea (leatherback sea turtle)
Lineage: Eukaryota; Metazoa; Chordata; Testudines; Dermochelyidae
Exons: 3
Source: RefSeq, a predicted model, not a curated record
CCAGAGGAGGGGACCAGCUUCCUAGAGGGCUGAAGUGACUUGCACCGUGAACAGGGAUGCUAGGGCUUGCAGGCUUGAGGCCUGGAAAGAUGGUGAAGGAGCCAGAGGCAGGAGCUGAACAUGCUGGGGCUGUGGGGAAGUGAUCCAGGGGAUUAAGACAGACUGGUGGAGCUACAAAAACCAGACACCUGACGCUGAGAGACGAAGCAGACGCUGAGAGAAAGGAGCAGUAACAGGUCUGCAGGCAAAGGUGAGGUUGGGAGAGCCACCACCACCCAAGGGCACACCUGCUGGGACUGAGCUAAUUCCCGAAAUGCCCAGCAGGAGGCACCA